UUAAUAACUUAUAACAUGCUAGGAAAUCCUUAAUAUGGACUGGUUGCCCACUGAAGCAGGGCUGAGCCUGGUCAGUACCUGGAUGGGAGACCUCCUGGGAAAAAAAGGUUACUGUUUGAA
This 120-nucleotide ribosomal RNA is filed under the name Sinocyclocheilus grahami. Lineage: Eukaryota; Metazoa; Chordata; Actinopteri; Cypriniformes; Cyprinidae. The record is from RNAcentral.